RNAcentral lists this microRNA (23 nucleotides) under Branchiostoma lanceolatum (amphioxus). RNAcentral's name for it is "Bla-Mir-12494-P5_5p (mature (guide))". The record is from RNAcentral. Lineage: Eukaryota; Metazoa; Chordata; Leptocardii; Amphioxiformes; Branchiostomatidae.
AUCCGGGAUUAUUAAGAACAUGA